Puccinia sorghi is the source of this 92-nucleotide non-coding RNA. NCBI's taxonomy places the organism in Eukaryota, Fungi, Basidiomycota, Pucciniomycetes, Pucciniales, Pucciniaceae. The record is from the annotation of a GenBank genome assembly.
UUAUGUAACCUCUUUCCCCAAGAGGGAUUCCUCCCAGGCAAAGAGGUCAGUAACCUACUUGCCCAGGAGUAAUCCCUCUUGGGAAAGCACUA